AUUUAUAUAGUUUAGAAGAAUAAACAUUACACUUUCACUGUAAAGACAAAGGAACCCUUUUAUAAAUA
This 68-nucleotide transfer RNA is filed under the name Hospitalitermes hospitalis. RNAcentral's name for it is "tRNA-Glu". It matches the Rfam family "tRNA". From Rfam's summary of the family: Transfer RNA (tRNA) molecules are approximately 80 nucleotides in length. Lineage: Eukaryota; Metazoa; Arthropoda; Insecta; Blattodea; Termitidae. RNAcentral also lists the same sequence under 2 other names. The record is from RNAcentral.